AGCAGCCGCGGUAAUUCCAGCUCCAAUAGCGUAUAUUAAAGUUGUUGCAGUUAAAAAGCUCGUAGUUGAAUUUCGGGACUAAUAUGUCGGUCGUACUUUGUACGUACUAACAUUAUUGGUUUCUUCCUUCUGACGAACCACGAUGUCAUUAAUUUGGUGUCGCGGGAAAUCAGGACUGUUACUUUGAAAAAUUAGAGUGUUUAAAGCAAGCUCGCGCUUGAAUACAUUAGCAUGGAAUAAUGAAAUAGGACGUUUGAUUCUAUUUUGUUGGUUUCUAGGAUCGACGUAAUGAUUAAUAGGGAUAGUUGGGGGCAUUAGUAUUCAAUUGUCAGAGGUGAAAUUCUUGGAUUUAUUGAAGACUAACUACUGCGAAAGCAUUUUGCCAAGGAUGUUUUCAUUAAUACAAGAACGAAAGUUAGGGGAGUCGAAGACGAUCAGAUACCGUCGUA
RNAcentral lists this ribosomal RNA (449 nucleotides) under uncultured Glomus. Its description in RNAcentral is "SSU rRNA". It matches the Rfam family "Eukaryotic small subunit ribosomal RNA", at positions 569 to 1022 of the family's 1831-position model. Lineage: Eukaryota; Fungi; Glomeromycota; Glomeromycetes; Glomerales; Glomeraceae. The record is from RNAcentral.